AGUGAACGCUGGCGGUAGGCCUAACACAUGCCAGUCGAACGGCAGCACAGUAAGAGCUUGCUCUUACGGGUGGCGAGUGGCGGACGGGUGAGGAAUACAUCGGAAUCUACUUUUUCGUGGGGGAUAACGUGGGGAAACUUACGCUAAUACCGCAUACGACCUACGGGUGAAAGCAGGGGAUCUUCGGACCUUGCGCGAUUGAAUGAGCCGAUGUCGGAUUAGCUAGUUGGCGGGGUAAAGGCCCACCAAGGCGACGAUCCGUAGCUGGUCUGAGAGGAUGAUCAGCCACACUGGAACUGAGACACGGUCCAGACUCCUACGGGAGGCAGCAGUGGGGAAUAUUGGACAAUGGGCGCAAGCCUGAUCCAGCCACACCGCGUGGGUGAAGAAGGCCUUCGGGUUGUAAAGCCCUUUUGUUGGGAAAGAAAAGCAGCAGGUUAAUACCCCGCUGUUCUGACGGUACCCAAAGAAUAAGCACCGGCUAACUUCGUG
RNAcentral lists this ribosomal RNA (492 nucleotides) under uncultured bacterium. Its description in RNAcentral is "partial 16S ribosomal RNA". It matches the Rfam family "Bacterial small subunit ribosomal RNA", at positions 29 to 507 of the family's 1533-position model. The record is from RNAcentral.